CGCCGUACAUAUGUUACGCGCAUAAUGUACAUGGAGCUGUUUUACCGUUUCGGAGUCUGCACGUACGCGCCCAUUAUUGAGUUACGCAUGUUAGAAACCCGUAAUACAUUAUGUUUGACGUGCCAACGUCCACGUUUCCCGAAUGUUCAACGCGGCGAUUCGAAAUAGGAGGAAUAAAACCCGAAGAUUUGUGAAGACCAGAGAUAACGUUGUUCUACAAGAUUAAAAAAUGUAGUCAGCAUUGUAAACGUAACGAGUAAACCGUGGACUUUUGUAUAUAAUAAAAAUUGUCUACCUGA
Megalopta genalis is the source of this 299-nucleotide non-coding RNA. The record is from RefSeq and is a predicted model, not a curated record. Lineage: Eukaryota; Metazoa; Arthropoda; Insecta; Hymenoptera; Halictidae.